Molecule: ribosomal RNA, 405 nt
Filed under: uncultured bacterium
Lineage: Bacteria
Description: partial 16S ribosomal RNA
Rfam family: Bacterial small subunit ribosomal RNA
Source: RNAcentral
AUUGAACGCUAGCGGGAUGCUUUACACAUGCAAGUCGAACGAGUGGCGGACGGGUGAGUAAUAUAUCGGAACGUGCUCAGUAGUGGGGGAUAACUACUCGAAAGAGUGGAUAAUACUGCAUACUAUGGGAGCGGCGGAUAUCGGAUUAGCUAGUUGGUGGGGUAAAGGCUCACCAAGGCAACGAUCCGUAGCUGGUUUGAGAGGACGACCAGCCACACUACAGCGGAGACACGGCACGGACUCCUACGGGAGGCAGCAGUGGAGAAAUGUGGACAAUGGGGGAAACCCUGGUCCAGCCAUCCCGCGUAUAGGAGAGAGCCUUCGGGUUGUAAAGUACUUUUGGCAUAGAAGCUGUAUCUGCAGAAUAAGCACCGGCUAACUACGUGCCAGCAGCCGCGGUAAUAC